RNAcentral lists this long non-coding RNA (374 nucleotides) under Carica papaya (papaya). Its description in RNAcentral is "long non-coding RNA (CPAP_LNC001783)". The record is from RNAcentral. Lineage: Eukaryota; Viridiplantae; Streptophyta; Magnoliopsida; Brassicales; Caricaceae.
UUACCAUUGUGGAAUUUAUGAAAACAACCUAUAAAGACAAUAAUAUCAUGCAAAUAAUAACUUCAUGCACAAUCAGUAACAUACAACAUAUCAUAAAUUCAUAUUCAUUGACAAUAACUAAUCAUCACUGUUUCUCGUUUCACCAGCCUACUAGUAUCCAUGGGGAUCCAUAGGGGUGUACCUGCUACACGUGAACCCUUUUCCUUAACAAUCUUAAUUUCAGGGCCGUCCCCAAACACCGUCCGGUAUGAGUGUCAAGAUAUUAAACCUCAAUACCUCAUCCGGUAUGAACGCCAAAUAACUAAGUCUCUAUACCCCGUCUGGUAUAAGACAACGUUCACGGUAGGGUUCCCUAUGAACCCAGUCCGUCCACC